AAAGCAGUAAUGCGCUUCGGGAGGGCCUGCGUCCCAUUAGCUAGUUGGUAGGGUAAAAGCCUACCAAGGCGACGAUGGGUAGCUGGAUCGAGAGGUUGACCAGCCACACUGGGACUGAGAUACGGCCCAGACUCCUACGGGAGGCAGCAGUAAGGAAUCUUCCACAAUGGACGAAAGUCUGAUGGAGCAACACCGCGUGCAGGAUGACGGCCUUAGGGUUGUAAACUGCUUUUAUAGAUGAAGAUUAUGACGGUAAUCUAUGAAUAAGGACCGGCUAACUACGUG
RNAcentral lists this ribosomal RNA (285 nucleotides) under uncultured bacterium. Its description in RNAcentral is "partial 16S ribosomal RNA". It matches the Rfam family "Bacterial small subunit ribosomal RNA", at positions 202 to 507 of the family's 1533-position model. The record is from RNAcentral.